Cryptomeria japonica (Japanese cedar) is the source of this 406-nucleotide long non-coding RNA. RefSeq lists it as uncharacterized. The record is from RefSeq and is a predicted model, not a curated record. NCBI's taxonomy places the organism in Eukaryota, Viridiplantae, Streptophyta, Pinopsida, Cupressales, Cupressaceae. The transcript has 2 exons.
UAAAAGAUGAUAAAAAUAUUUGGUCAUUCUUCAUUUGCCUUUUCGUGGUCUGUUGGGAGCCGCCAUGAAACCUUAGGGUUUGAACUUGGAUCUCUCCAUUGCUUUGAUGAUUUGUUGGUGAAUUUUUGAAGAUUUUACUGGGAAAUAAUUGGUAAGAUGUAGGAAAGGAGCAGCAAGGAAGCAACAACCAGACACAAGAUAGGUGGAAGACUAAAUAUGAUACCAGUCAACUCAAUUAGAGCUCAUCAUUCAAGCAAUGACGAAUCACCCUUCUUUAUAUGUGCAUUUAUCUUUCCUUGCAUCUAAAAAUGCAUAAUGUUUUCUUUAAUUUACAUUAUAAGAGUUAGUCUCACAACUUGUGUGAGACACUAUCAUUUAAAUUAUCAAUAAAGAUUACUUUUUCCUC